Molecule: ribosomal RNA, 194 nt
Filed under: Streptococcus pyogenes
Lineage: Bacteria; Bacillati; Bacillota; Bacilli; Lactobacillales; Streptococcaceae
Also listed under: 2 other names
Description: partial 16S ribosomal RNA
Rfam family: Bacterial small subunit ribosomal RNA
Source: RNAcentral
AUUAAAGAGAGUUUGAUCCUGGCUCAGGACGAACGCUGGCGGCGUGCCUAAUACAUGCAAGUAGAACGCUGAGAACUGGUGCUUGCACCGGUUCAAGGAGUUGCGAACGGGUGAGUAACGCGUAGGUAACCUACCUCAUAGCGGGGGAUAACUAUUGGAAACGAUAGCUAAUACCGCAUAAGAGAGACUAACGC